RNAcentral lists this ribosomal RNA (477 nucleotides) under uncultured bacterium. Its description in RNAcentral is "partial 16S ribosomal RNA". It matches the Rfam family "Bacterial small subunit ribosomal RNA", at positions 28 to 507 of the family's 1533-position model. The record is from RNAcentral.
GAUUAACGCUGGCGGCGUGCCUAACACAUGCAAGUCGAACGAUGACACUUAGUAUACUUCUUCGGAAAGACAUUAAGCGGAUUAGUGUCGAACUGGUGAGUAACUCGUUAGUAACCUGCCUUACACAAGGGGAUAGCCUUUUGAAACGAAGAAUAAUACCCUAUAAAACUAUAAAAGCACAUGCUAGACUGGUCAAAGUGAUAGCGGUGUAAGAUGGACUUGCGUCUUAUUAGCUAGUUGGUGAGAUAAAAGCUCACAAAGGCAACGAUCAGUAGCCGGCUUGGGAGAGUGUAAGGCAACAUUGGGACUGAGACAAGGCCAAGAUCCCUACGGAAGGAAGCAGUGGGGAAAUUUGAAAAAUGGGGGAAACCCUGAUGCAGCAACGCCGCGUAGUUUAGAAGGCCUUAGGGUUGUAAAAAUCUUUUGUAUAGGAAGAUAAUGACAGUACUAUAAGAAUAAGGUCCGGCUAAUUACGUG